Small nucleolar RNA from Ornithorhynchus anatinus (platypus), 138 nucleotides. The record is from RefSeq and is a predicted model, not a curated record. NCBI's taxonomy places the organism in Eukaryota, Metazoa, Chordata, Mammalia, Monotremata, Ornithorhynchidae.
GCCCUCUCAGCCUCGCACCUGGAGAGUUUUUAGUACUCUACCAGUCUCGACUACGGGAGGGAGAGUCAAGCAGAGAUAUAUCCAAUCCGUUCCUAGCUUGGAGAGCGGCUAGCGAGUGGAAGGUAAUCUGCUACAAUU